UACGUAGGGUGCGAGCGUUAAUCGGAAUUACUGGGCGUAAAGCGUGCGCAGGCGGUUUUGUAAGCCCGAUGUGAAAGCCCCGGGCUUAACCUGGGAAUGGCAUUUGGGACUGCAAGGCUUGAGUGCGGCAGAGGAGACUGGAAUUCCCGGUGUAGCAGUGAAAUGCGUAGAUAUCGGGAGGAAUACCGAUGGCGAAGGCAGGUCUCUGGGCUGACACUGACGCUCAUGCACGAAAGCGUGGGGAGCAAACAGG
RNAcentral lists this ribosomal RNA (253 nucleotides) under uncultured bacterium. RNAcentral describes it as "partial 16S ribosomal RNA". It matches the Rfam family "Bacterial small subunit ribosomal RNA", at positions 524 to 776 of the family's 1533-position model. The record is from RNAcentral.